GCUCUGACCCAUAGACCAUGCCAUCUUGGAGGGGAGAGUGGCUGUUAUCAGAACUCUAAAAAUUCCAGGAAUCCAACACCACCCAGGGAACAGCUGCAAAGCCAGGAACACUGGACCCCAAGGAAAGCAAAUAUGGGACUUGGAGGAGCUCAGCACCUUCUCACGAAAAGGAGAGAGAUAACUACAUAACCAAACACCUGGAAAAAAGAGAUCAUGGGGAGA
Pipistrellus kuhlii (Kuhl's pipistrelle) is the source of this 222-nucleotide long non-coding RNA. RefSeq lists it as uncharacterized. The record is from RefSeq and is a predicted model, not a curated record. Lineage: Eukaryota; Metazoa; Chordata; Mammalia; Chiroptera; Vespertilionidae. The transcript has 2 exons.